CGUACACUCCUGCGGGAGGCAGCAGUGGGGAAUUUUGGACAAUGGGCGAAAGCCUGAUCCAGCCAUGCCGCGUGCAGGAUGAAGGCCUUCGGGUUGUAAACUGCUUUUGUACGGAACGAAACGGCCUUUUCUAAUAAAGAGGGCUAAUGACGGUACCGUAAGAAUAAGCACCGGCUAACUACGUGCCAGCAGCCGCGGUAAUACGUAGGGUGCAAGCGUUAAUCGGAAUUACUGGGCGUAAAGCGUGCGCAGGCGGUUAUGUAAGACAGGUGUGAAAUCCCCGGGCUCAACCUGGGAACUGCAUCUGUGACUGCAUAGCUAGAGUACGGUAGAGGGGGAUGGAAUUCCGCGUGUAGCAGUGAAAUGCGUAGAUAUGCGGAGGAACACCGAUGGCGAAGGCAAUCCCCUGGACCUGUACUGACGCUCAUGCACGAAAGCGUGUGGAGCAAACAGGAGUAGAUACCCCAGUAGUCCCAUG
Molecule: ribosomal RNA, 478 nt
Filed under: uncultured organism
Description: partial 16S ribosomal RNA
Rfam family: Bacterial small subunit ribosomal RNA
Source: RNAcentral